Molecule: long non-coding RNA, 256 nt
Organism: Pipistrellus kuhlii (Kuhl's pipistrelle)
Lineage: Eukaryota; Metazoa; Chordata; Mammalia; Chiroptera; Vespertilionidae
Exons: 4
Source: RefSeq, a predicted model, not a curated record
UACCAGUCUUUUGCCGCGGCAGCGUGGUGCAUCCGGUGCGGAGAGUCCUUUGUCCUGGGAAACGGAGUGCGGCCGGAAAGGGGGCCGCCCCCACGCCCUUCACGCAACGCACGUUCGUGGGGAACCUGGCGCUAAACCAUUAGUAGACGACCUGCUUCUGGGUCGGGGUUUCGUACGUAGCAGAGCAGCUCCCUCACUGCGAUCUAUUGAAAGUCAGCCCUCGACACAAGGGAAGAGGGUGGUGUAGGGAAAGAGG